ACGGAAGGCAGCAGUGGGGAAUAUUGCACAAUGGGGGAAACCCUGAUGCAGCGACGCCGCGUGAAGGAAGAAGUAUCUCGGUAUGUAAACUUCUAUCAGCAGGGAAGAAAAUGACGGUACCUGACUAAGAAGCCCCGGCUAACUACGUGCCAGCAGCCGCGGUAAUACGUAGGGGGCAAGCGUUAUCCGGAUUUACUGGGUGUAAAGGGAGCGUAGACGGAAUUGCAAGUCUGAUGUGAAAGGCAUGGGCUCAACCUGUGGACUGCAUUGGAAACUGUGAUUCUUGAGUGCCGGAGGGGUAAGCGGAAUUCCUGGUGUAGCGGUGAAAUGCGCAGAUAUCAGGAGGAACACCGGUGGCGAAGGCGGCUUACUGGACGGCAACUGACGUUGAGGCUCGAAGGCGUGGGGAGCAAACAGGAUUAGAUACCCUGGUA
This 434-nucleotide ribosomal RNA is filed under the name uncultured Blautia sp. RNAcentral describes it as "partial 16S ribosomal RNA". It matches the Rfam family "Bacterial small subunit ribosomal RNA", at positions 341 to 792 of the family's 1533-position model. The record is from RNAcentral. Lineage: Bacteria; Bacillati; Bacillota; Clostridia; Lachnospirales; Lachnospiraceae.